UAAGACUCCAUAUUUCAGGAAAAAAGAGAGGAAAGUUAAAAGUAAAUGUUUCUUUGGGCUGGUAGAGAUGGAGAAAGGAGAGCAUCAGAGGGGGGCCCUUCAGUCAGUGAGUCAGAGAGUGAGGUGAGGUGACUGAGUGAGUGAGUGAGUGAGUGAGUGAGUGAGUGAGUGAGUGAGUGAGUGAGGUAAGUGAGUGAGUGAGUGAGGUGAGUGAGUGAGGUGAGUGAGUGAGGUAAGUGAGUGAGUGAGUGAGUGAGUGAGUGAGUGAGUGAGUGAGUAAGUGAGUGAGUGAGUGGUGAGUGAGUGAGUGAGUGAGUGAGUGAGUGAGUGAGUGAGUGAGUGAGUGAGUGAGGUGAGUGAGUGAGGUAAGUGAGUGAGUGAGUGAGUGAGUGAGUGAGUGAGUGAGUGAGUGAGUGGUGAGUGAGUGAGUGAGUGAGGUAAGUGAGUGAGGUAAGUGAGUGAGUUGAGGUGAGUUGAGGUGAGGUGAGGUGAGGUGAGGUGAGGUGAGGUGAGGUGAGGUGAGUGAGUGAGUGAGUGAGUGAGUGAGUGAGUGAGUGAGUGAGUGAGUGAGUGAGUGCGUGCGUGCGUGAGUGAGUGAGUGAGUGAGGUAAGUGAGUGAGUGAGUGAGUGAGUGAGUGAGUGAGUGAGUGAGUGAGUGAGUGAGGUGAGGUGAGGUGAGGUGAGGUGAGGUGAGGUGAGGUGAGGUGAGGUGAGGUGAGUGAGGUUCACUGGGAAAACAUAUCAUUCAUUCAAUUUUACUCUCCCUCUCACCCUCCCUUCAGUGUUCCAUUGUUCCUGUCAUUCUGAAUACCACUAUUCCUCUGGAUGGAUUCCACAGACCAACUGAGAAUCCCAGCUGACAAAAUAUUACAAUAGAAAACUGGGUGAGGAACCGCCUUAGAACCAUGUCUGGGUGAGGAACCGCCUUAGAACCAUGUCUGGGUGAGGAACCGCCUUAGAACCAUGUCUGGGCCGGUGUUGCCAGUCGGAGUUCGUUCACCAGGGGAGCCAUCUCCUGCCUCUCCUCCCCAUCUGAUAACAGAGUCGAAGGAGCACAGCAAGAGGAGCAUGGCA
Molecule: long non-coding RNA, 1074 nt
Filed under: Salmo trutta (river trout)
Lineage: Eukaryota; Metazoa; Chordata; Actinopteri; Salmoniformes; Salmonidae
Description: lncRNA (ENSSTUG00000013039.1)
Source: RNAcentral